Gasterosteus aculeatus aculeatus (three-spined stickleback) is the source of this 1883-nucleotide non-coding RNA. Lineage: Eukaryota; Metazoa; Chordata; Actinopteri; Perciformes; Gasterosteidae. The record is from RefSeq and is a predicted model, not a curated record.
UCCAGAUUUCACAUUAUUUGCAAAAGUAAAGUUGAAAGUGUGCUGGAAAUAAAUAGUUGGCAGAAAACACUACUGAGAGACAGUUUCAUGCUUCAACUGCGACUGAAGAGGCAAUUUUCUUUUUUUUUUGUGGUCAGAAUUUGGACGGUAUCAAUUUCCUGCGCGUGGUUGACUCAAGCAAAUGACACGUUGUUCACAGCAUCACAGACACACGUAUGACGUGGAAGCACAGAGCGGAGAGACAAAAACAAACCUUUUCACUUCCCUUCGGGUGAGCAAACGAGAGAGCGAAGGGAAAGACGUUAGACGCCCGGUAAGUCAUGCUCAAACAGAAUGCAACAGCUUGACAUGUCACAAUGCCAAACAUUAGAACAUUUCUCACAUGUUGAGUUUAUGUUUGGGAUUUUUUUUUGGUGGUUGCCGAAAGGGUUCAUGGCAGGAUGCAAUCAAACAAGGGGACGUUGCAUCGGAACCAGGACAAUCUGAUACUAAAACAGGUGCUGCGUCCACAGGGAGCCGCUGUGACGGUCUGCAGGCCCCCACCGAGUGACCUCCCCGCGUGACCCCGCCGGCCCCACCGGCCCAUCCGCCACACAGCACGUCUGCUGCCUGUCUGACAUCGAACCGAGGCGAGCGACGGCAUUGACUGAGAGGACUGAGACGAGAGAGAAAACUAGUUCCUUUUUGUCAGAUAGGAGAGAAGACGGGUGAGAAGACAUGGCGUCAGUCCCGUACCUGCGCAGCGAGUCCCAACAAAGGAAACUGAACCAUGCCAAGUGUGUGUGUCGUCAUAGCGGAGCUUCAUAAGAAUGAUGGCUUUGCUUUACAUGCCUGUGUGAGUAUUGAGUGAGUACUGCAUUAAUGUCUAAUAGUGCUCAUCUUAACCACCUCCAAUAGCACAGGGUAACUACUGACUAGGACACACACACACACACACACAGAAGUUCACACAGGAAUAUUCAGCCUGGCGGUGGUUUUCUCCAAAGCACCCACAGACUACUCGCUGCACUAGAUUUGAAGCCAGAUGUCUUAUUAAAGAGGCAACUUGUGACAAAACAUGGCAGGAAAAAGCAAAAGUAGUUUGGGAUUUGAGUCUCACAUUGAGCUGCAGAGUUCAGAAACGUCUGUCUCACAAAGGGCAGGCUGGUUUGAGCGAUGCAUCUUUCUCACAUAGCUUUCUGAACUCUGUGUAUUCAGUGCUUUGUUGUGCACAGAAACGUGGAAUUGUAGGUCCAUUUGAAACAACAGUGACAUUCAGGUUUCAGGAGAAUCAUUCCACUGAUGAGGUUUGUCAAGAACCAGCUAAAUUUCAUCUGAUCUGUAAACUCAUCUGAAAAAGUGCCAACAGAACAUUAGUUCUUAAAGGACCAACAUCUUAAGCAACCAAACGUCAACUGCAAAAACACAAAUACACAACAGAUUUAAUAAACUGUUUAAUAAACUGAUUUAAACAAUAAACAGAAGGAGGAACAACACAUGGAUCAACGCAUUCAUUGGUAGGAAAGUAGUGAUUGAUACUUAUAAUACCAAGAACAAGUAAUUCAUUACACAGAAUGUGUCCCUUUCAAAAAGUAUCCAUUUACUAGCAUAAGAUACGAAUUCUUAACUGAGAACAGGCUGAAUCUGCGCUUAAUGCUCCCGUCCAACAACUGGAAUCUUGUAUUCCCUUUUCUGUGAGUGUUUAUUCUUUUGUGAAACAACGGUCACAUCGACGUGCCGUCUGUCUCGGAUUCAAACAGCAGUUGUUGUUUUUUUAUAACUGUGCUUUUUAAAAGUAUAAAAAUAAAGCUAAACUUUCCCUGGAGGGAAACAUUCUACUGACCUAAGACAUCAUUGUAACAUUUCACUGGGUUAGUUCUUUUUACAUAAAAAAAAAUAAAAAA